CACGCAGGCGGUCUGUCAAGUCGGAUGUGAAAUCCCCGGGCUCAACCUGGGAACUGCAUUCGAAACUGGCAGGCUAGAGUCUUGUAGAGGGGGGUAGAAUUCCAGGUGUAGCGGUGAAAUGCGUAGAGAUCUGGAGGAAUACCGGUGGCGAAGGCGGCCCCCUGGACAAAGACUGACGCUCAGGUGCGAAAGCCAGGGUAGCGAACG
Molecule: ribosomal RNA, 207 nt
Filed under: uncultured bacterium
Lineage: Bacteria
Description: partial 16S ribosomal RNA
Rfam family: Bacterial small subunit ribosomal RNA
Source: RNAcentral